This 1150-nucleotide ribosomal RNA is filed under the name Mycobacterium sp. Its description in RNAcentral is "bacterial SSU rRNA". It matches the Rfam family "Bacterial small subunit ribosomal RNA", at positions 317 to 1478 of the family's 1533-position model. Lineage: Bacteria; Bacillati; Actinomycetota; Actinomycetes; Mycobacteriales; Mycobacteriaceae. The record is from RNAcentral.
GAUUGAGUUCCGCCCCAAUUUCUUAGGGGGGCAGCAGUGGGAAUAUUGCACAAUGGGCCCAAGCCUGAUGCAGCGACGCCGCUUGAGGGAUGACGGCCUUCGGGUUGUAAACCUCUUUCACCAGGGACGAAGCGUAAGUGACGGUACCUGGAGAAGAAGCACCGGCCAACUACGUGCCAGCAGCCGCGGUAAUACGUAGGGUGCGAGCGUUGUCCGGAAUUACUGGGCGUAAAGAGCUCGUAGGUGGUUUGUCGCGUUGUUCGUGAAAACUCACAGCUUAACUGUGGGCGUGCGGGCGAUACGGGCAGACUGGAGUACUGCAGGGGAGACUGGAAUUCCUGGUGUAGCGGUGGAAUGCGCAGAUAUCAGGAGGAACACCGGUGGCGAAGGCGGGUCUCUGGGCAGUAACUGACGCUGAGGAGCGAAAGCGUGGGGAGCGAACAGGAUUAGAUACCCUGGUAGUCCACGCCGUAAACGGUGGGUACUAGGUGUGGGUUUCCUUCCUUGGGAUCCGUGCCGUAGCUAACGCAUUAAGUACCCCGCCUGGGGAGUACGGCCGCAAGGCUAAAACUCAAAGAAAUUGACGGGGGCCCGCACAAGCGGCGGAGCAUGUGGAUUAAUUCGAUGCAACGCGAAGAACCUUACCUGGGUUUGACAUGCACAGGACGCCGGCAGAGAUGUCGGUUCCCUUGUGGCCUGUGUGCAGGUGGUGCAUGGCUGUCGUCAGCUCGUGUCGUGAGAUGUUGGGUUAAGUCCCGCAACGAGCGCAACCCUUGUCUCAUGUUGCCAGCACGUUAUGGUGGGGACUCGUGAGAGACUGCCGGGGUCAACUCGGAGGAAGGUGGGGAUGACGUCAAGUCAUCAUGCCCCUUAUGUCCAGGGCUUCACACAUGCUACAAUGGCCGGUACAAAGGGCUGCGAUGCCGUGAGGUGGAGCGAAUCCUUUCAAAGCCGGUCUCAGUUCGGAUCGGGGUCUGCAACUCGACCCCGUGAAGUCGGAGUCGCUAGUAAUCGCAGAUCAGCAACGCUGCGGUGAAUACGUUCCCGGGCCUUGUACACACCGCCCGUCACGUCAUGAAAGUCGGUAACACCCGGAAGCCCGUGGCCUAACCCGUAAGGGAGGGAGCGGUCGAAGUGAUCGCGGUGGCAU